UGCCAGCCGCCGCGGUAAUACGAAGGUGGCGAGCGUUGUUCGGAUUUACUGGGCGUAAAGAGCACGUAGGCGGUUUGGUAAGCACCUUGGGAAAUCUUCAGGCUUAACCUGGAAAGUUCGAGGUGAACUGCCGAGCUAGAGGACGGGAGAGGAGCGCGGAAUUUCCGGUGUAGCGGUGAAAUGCGUAGAGAUCGGGAAGAAGGCCGGUGGCGAAGGCGGCGCUCUGGAACGUUUCUGACGCUGAGGUGCGAAAGCGUGGGGAGCAAACAGGAUUAGAUA
This 279-nucleotide ribosomal RNA is filed under the name uncultured bacterium. RNAcentral's name for it is "partial 16S ribosomal RNA". It matches the Rfam family "Bacterial small subunit ribosomal RNA", at positions 506 to 784 of the family's 1533-position model. The record is from RNAcentral.